AGAGGGUGCGAGCGUUAAUCGGAAUGACUGGGGCGUAAAGGGGCACGUAGGCGGUUUAUUCAGUCAGCUGUGAAAGUCCUGGGGCUUAACCUGGGGGGAUUGCAUAUGAUACGGAUAGACUAGAGUGGAGUAGAGGGCAGUGGAAUUUCCGGUGUAGCGGUGAAAUGCGUAGAGAUCGGAAAGAACAUCGGUGGCGAAGGCGGCUGCCUGGACUCACACUGACGCUGAGGUGCGAAAGCGUGGGUAGCGAACAGGAUUAGAUACCCUGGUAGUCCACGCUGUAAACGAUGAGGACUAGCUGUUGGAUUGCGAGACGAUUCAGUGGCGCAGCAAACGCGUUAAGUUCUCCGCCUGGGGAGUACGGCCGCAAGGUUA
RNAcentral lists this ribosomal RNA (375 nucleotides) under uncultured organism. Its description in RNAcentral is "partial 16S ribosomal RNA". It matches the Rfam family "Bacterial small subunit ribosomal RNA", at positions 527 to 896 of the family's 1533-position model. The record is from RNAcentral.